This is a non-coding RNA of Myodes glareolus (Bank vole), 1242 nucleotides long. NCBI's taxonomy places the organism in Eukaryota, Metazoa, Chordata, Mammalia, Rodentia, Cricetidae. The record is from RefSeq and is a predicted model, not a curated record.
CUGGCAGUGCUUGGGAAACAUCCCUGAACCCGUGCCUCCUGCCAAUCUGAGUGCACCUUGCAGAUGUCCACAGAGUCAAAGUACCUGAUAAAGUCACUAUACUCCAUCCAGAAAACACCCUCGCUGCUGCCAUGUGGCAUGAGCUCAGCUCGUAGGUGCCCUGGCCAGUGUGGCCACUCAUCCGACCAGCUGCCAUUCCAGGAGAAACGGCCCCAUGGGUUCCGGAGUCGCAGGAGCCUAUAGAUCACAGGACUGAGAACCAAGACUAUGUGCCUUGUGUCCAUGCACUUGUCCACCCUCAGCCAGUUGGGCCCUUACCUGGAGCCCUGAACAUCACGAACAUCCAAGAUGGAGUAAGCAUGGCGGGGGCGCAGACCCAGGCUCUCGUAAGCAGCAUCAUCUACCUUCAUGUUACCUCCCCCACAGGAGGCACCCAUGAGAAACCUGUUUAGGCAGAGUGACACUGGCUGAUGGAAUGGGUGGUAACAGGGGAGAUGACCCUUCUUGAAUAUGGGGGUAUAGUCUGGGACCCAUGUGACACACGCUUUCUGGAUGAGCUCAGUGUGUCUGGCUAGAACAAGCUGGUUUCUGAAGGCUUAGGCCUGAAAUGUGGGCAGUACUACUGCCUAGGUUCAGCUGGAGGUAGGGAUUUUGGCAUCCUCUCCCAGGACUAGAACUUCUGUAGGUCUUUGGGUCUAGACUCUUCUAGACCUUGGGAAAGGAGUGUCAAGGUUCACAACACCGACCAGGGUGUGGCAUGUCUCAGAACACCUCCUCCUACUCCUCAGGGUCUCUCUGUGAACUCUUGCCUGUAUUUUCCUAAGUGAGAGGUAAUGAGAUCUGGCCUCUUUCUAGGGUGGCUACCUAGAAUGGCUAUACUUCUUAGCUAUGGCUCACUAAGAACCUAGUUAGAUGCGGGUACAGUCAGAGGGCACUGGCCCCACUUCUCCCACCACUCCACUCUUCUCUCCUCCCAAUGCCACAGACCAUGGCAGCGACGGCCUCUUACCCAGCCUCCUUAGAACUCAGCAUUUUGGCCCAGAUGAGGUCAGUAUCAACAGGUUCUUCUCGGGGAUUAGUGGAGCUGACCUGCAGCGCCAGACUCUCACAGGGGGCACCGGUGAGUGUGGCCAGGCCUUCAAUGGCACGCCCUGCCUGGAGUGCAAAGUAGGAGCCGUGCAGCUUGGCCAGCGCCUUCUCAAUGAGGGCCACCCACAGCUGCUUCCGUUGUGCCUGGGGGAG